AUAAAGACUAUGAAGAGAAGAGUAGAUAUAGGAGGUAGCUUUAGCGAGUCGGUGAUGGUGUGAGACCGAUGCGAACCCUAUAUUGAAGAACAGCUCGGAGUUUCUAAUCGAAAUCGGAAUGUAUUCGAGAGUAGGCUUAGACGGAACCAAACCGUUAGCAAUGGAUGGCAUAGAACCUUUGUCAGUUUAAGGUGGUCGCAAAAUAUAGUUGCGGCAAUAAGGGUGGUACCGCGAAACAUGAGUCUUUCGUCCCUAUU
RNAcentral lists this non-coding RNA (257 nucleotides) under Paramaledivibacter caminithermalis. RNAcentral's name for it is "Clostridium caminithermale T-box sequence". It matches the Rfam family "T-box leader". From Rfam's summary of the family: Uncharged tRNA acts as the effector for transcription antitermination of genes in the T-box leader family. T-boxes are found upstream of many aminoacyl-tRNA synthetase genes and some amino acid biosynthetic genes usually in Gram-positive bacteria. The anticodon of a specific tRNA base pairs to a specifier sequence within the T-box motif, and the NCCA acceptor tail of the tRNA base pairs to a conserved bulge in the T-box antiterminator hairpin. Lineage: Bacteria; Bacillati; Bacillota; Clostridia; Peptostreptococcales; Caminicellaceae. The record is from RNAcentral.